AGCAGCCGCGGUAAUUCCAGCUCCAAUAGCGUAUAUAAAGUGUGCAGUAAAAGCUCGUAUGAAUUCGGGAUCAAUUAGUCGGUCGUGCCUCUGGUACGUACUGGUUUUAUUGGUUCCUCCUUCUGACGAAACAUGAUGUCAUUAAUUUGGUGUCGUGAGAAUCAGGACUGUUACCUUAAAAAAUUAGAGUGUUUAUAGCAGGCUAAC
This 207-nucleotide ribosomal RNA is filed under the name uncultured Glomeromycotina. RNAcentral describes it as "partial small subunit ribosomal RNA". It matches the Rfam family "Eukaryotic small subunit ribosomal RNA", at positions 569 to 789 of the family's 1831-position model. Lineage: Eukaryota; Fungi; Glomeromycota. The record is from RNAcentral.